This 253-nucleotide ribosomal RNA is filed under the name uncultured bacterium. Its description in RNAcentral is "partial 16S ribosomal RNA". It matches the Rfam family "Bacterial small subunit ribosomal RNA", at positions 524 to 776 of the family's 1533-position model. The record is from RNAcentral.
UACGUAGGUGGCAAGCGUUGUCCGGAUUUACUGGGCGUAAAGAGCGCGCAGGCGGUCGAUUUAGUCGCGUGUGAAAGCCCCCGGCUCAACUGGGGAGGGUCACGCGAUACUGAUCGACUCGAAGGCAGGAGAGGGUAGUGGAAUUCCCGGUGUAGUGGUGAAAUGCGUAGAUAUCGGGAGGAACACCAGUGGCGAAGGCGGCAUCCUGGACCGACACUGACACUGAGGAGCGAAAGCCAGGGGAGCAAACGGG